UGAACUAUCCAAAAUUUGGUUUUGGGCUGUUUAGAAUUUAUUGUUCACAAAUCUGUCAUUUCCAAGUUUCUCUCUGUUUAUGUUUUAGGUUGAAGAUGGCCCAGAGAGGUAAGCCUUACAGUUGCUAAUCUAGAAGCAUUAGGCAAGAGUGUCUGAGAACGAUGGUAUGAUCUGCAACACAUUCUUUUUUUAUUACUGAUUUAUUACUGACUAUCUAUUUCUUUCUUUGUUGUUAUUCAACAAGUGAGAACUCCCAUUAAUGGGAAUCAAAAGGAAACCCUGAAAUCAUUUUUUAAGGAUGGAAUGACACGAGUUGGUUCAGAAUUAAUACCAAGAGCUGCAUCAGCUACUGGUUUGGACACCAGUGUCGUAGAAAAAGGUUUACUUUUGUGCCACACUAACAAACAACAUGUCAAAUAAAUAUAUAAUUCUGCUGCACUGCUUGUAUAAAUGAAGUGUUUUGUCAACAUUCGGUUUAAUUUGUGUAAUACCCUUUCGCUAUUUUUUGUUUUUCAGAACUGGAUCGGUAAUUACAAAAGAUCACAAAUGACUAAUGCUUCGUCUGAACCCCGGCCAAAGUUCACAUUAGAAAGCUGUCGCCUUACAAUCUUUUUUGUAGGGACAUAUUCAAAAACAAAGGCACAAUGAAUGAUAUUAAGGGCAGGUGCGCCACAUUGGGGGAAGAUGCAAAGCAAAAAUACAUUCAAGAGGCAGCAGCACUGAGGGCACAUGGGCAGGCACAGGACCUAAACUCUGAUAUGAGGGAUGCCCGAUUUAAAAUGCACCUUAAGAAGCUGAAGUUAGAGAUGGAGGCAAUUUGUGCUGUGUCUGCCGCGUCCAUUUUGAUGAUAAGAAGAAGAAUGAAAGAAAGAAGUGGCGUUCAUGGUCUCAGUGCACAGUGUGCCAAUCAUGGUCACACACAGCAUGUGGCUUUAAAAAGAACAUGUGCCUUCACUGCCAGUGUCAAGACACCAUGCAAACACCCUGACGAUGUAUCUUGUUUGGGUUGUUUUUACUGUGUUGACGGCCCCCAACCCAUCCAUACAAACACACACACACACACACACACACACACACACACUCGCAAUACAUACAUAUGCUGCAAAUUUAUUGUAAUGACUACACUUCACACGUAAGAAGAAAAUUGUGAUCUUUUUGUUAUUUUCAUUCAUCCCAAUUUUUAUUUAUUAUUGUUGUUUGUUGGCACCAUCAAUGUGGUCUCCUUUAUACAGGACUUAUGUGGGGACCAAUAAAGUUAUAUUGUACUGAA
Long non-coding RNA from Carassius carassius (crucian carp), 1270 nucleotides. RefSeq lists it as uncharacterized. The transcript has 3 exons. The record is from RefSeq and is a predicted model, not a curated record. Lineage: Eukaryota; Metazoa; Chordata; Actinopteri; Cypriniformes; Cyprinidae.